RNAcentral lists this ribosomal RNA (207 nucleotides) under uncultured bacterium. Its description in RNAcentral is "partial 16S ribosomal RNA". It matches the Rfam family "Bacterial small subunit ribosomal RNA", at positions 568 to 774 of the family's 1533-position model. The record is from RNAcentral.
CAUGUAGGCGGCCUUGUAAGCCUGGCGUGAAAGUCACCGGCUUAACCGGUGGAUUGCGUCGGGAACUGCAGGGCUUGAGUCACGGAGAGGGAGCUAGAAUUCCUGGUGUAGGGGUGAAAUCUGUAGAGAUCAGGAAGAAUACCAAUGGCGAAGGCAAGCUCCUGGCCGAUGACUGACGCUGAGGUGCGAAAGUGUGGGGAUCAAACA